UAGGGAAUCUUCCGCAAUGGGCGAAAGCCUGACGGAGCAACGCCGCGUGAGUGAAGAAGGAUUUCGGUUCGUAAAGCUCUGUUGUUAGGGAAGAAUGGAUAUGUAGUAACUAUACAUAUGAGAGACGGUACCUAACCAGAAAGCCACGGCUAACUACGUGCCAGCAGCCGCGGUAAUACGUAGGUGGCAAGCGUUGUCCGGAAUUAUUGGGCGUAAAGCGCGCGCAGGUGGUUUAAUAAGUCUGAUGUGAAAGCCCACGGCUCAACCGUGGAGGGUCAUUGGAAACUGUUAAACUUGAGUGCAGGAGAGAAAAGUGGAAUUCCUAGUGUAGCGGUGAAAUGCGUAGAGAUUAGGAGGAACACCAGUGGCGAAGGCGGCUUUUUGGCCUGUAACUGACACUGAGGCGCGAAAGCGUGGGGAGCAAACAGGAUUAGAUACCCUGGUAGUCCACGCCGUAAACGAUGAGUGCUAAGUGUUGGUCUCAUAAGAGAUCAGUGCUGCAGCUAACGCAUUAAGCACUCCGCCUGGGGAGUACGACCGCAAGGUUG
RNAcentral lists this ribosomal RNA (548 nucleotides) under uncultured bacterium. RNAcentral's name for it is "bacterial SSU rRNA". It matches the Rfam family "Bacterial small subunit ribosomal RNA", at positions 355 to 896 of the family's 1533-position model. The record is from RNAcentral.